UUGGGGGUGUAAAGCUUUUGCGGUGUGGGAUGGGCCCGCGGCCUAUCAGCUUGUUGGUGGGGUAAUGGCCUACCAAGGCGACGACGGGUAGCCGGCCUGAGAGGGUGACCGGCCACACUGGGACUGAGAUACGGCCCAGACUCCUACGGGAGGCAGCAGUGGGGAAUAUUGCACAAUGGGCGCAAGCCUGAUGCAGCGACGCCGCGUGAGGGAUGACGGCCUUCGGGUUGUAAACCUCUUUCAAUAGGGACGAAGCGCAAGUGACGGUACCUAUAGAAGAAGGACCGGCCAACUACGUG
Molecule: ribosomal RNA, 299 nt
Filed under: uncultured bacterium
Lineage: Bacteria
Description: partial 16S ribosomal RNA
Rfam family: Bacterial small subunit ribosomal RNA
Source: RNAcentral